Molecule: non-coding RNA, 98 nt
Organism: Candidozyma duobushaemuli
Lineage: Eukaryota; Fungi; Ascomycota; Pichiomycetes; Serinales; Metschnikowiaceae
Source: the annotation of a RefSeq genome assembly
GAUGUGGUGGCCGAGUGGUUAAGGCGUGAGGUGCAGGUUGUAACAUCAGCACCUCCUCAUGAGCUCUGCUCUCGCAGGUUCGAAUCCUGUCCACGUCG